UGGGGUGUCGCCAAGUGGUAAGGCAGCGGUUUUUGGUACCGCCAUCUCGUUGGUUCGAAUCCAGCCACCCCAG
RNAcentral lists this transfer RNA (73 nucleotides) under bacterium. RNAcentral describes it as "tRNA-Gln". It matches the Rfam family "tRNA". From Rfam's summary of the family: Transfer RNA (tRNA) molecules are approximately 80 nucleotides in length. Their secondary structure includes four short double-helical elements and three loops (D, anti-codon, and T loops). RNAcentral also lists the same sequence under 2 other names. The record is from RNAcentral.